This 253-nucleotide ribosomal RNA is filed under the name uncultured bacterium. RNAcentral's name for it is "partial 16S ribosomal RNA". It matches the Rfam family "Bacterial small subunit ribosomal RNA", at positions 524 to 776 of the family's 1533-position model. The record is from RNAcentral.
UACGGAGGGUGCAGGCGUUAUCCGGAUUCACUGGGUUUAAAGGGUGCGUAGGCGGAUAGGUAAGUCCGUGGUGAAAUCCUGCAGCUUAACUGCAGAACUGCCAUGGAUAUUAUUUACCUUGAAUGUCGUGGAGGUUAGCAGAAUAUGUCAUGUAGCGGUGAAAUGCUUAGAUAUGACAUAGAAUACCCAUUGCGAAGGCAGCUAACUACGCGAUAAUUGACGCUGAUGCACGAAAGCGUGGGGAUCAAACAGG